UUUCAAAUGGCAGAUUUAAUGCGUAGGCUUUAAGCGCCUGAGAUGGGUAUUCCUUUGUUU
RNAcentral lists this transfer RNA (60 nucleotides) under Pyramidella dolabrata (giant Atlantic pyram). RNAcentral's name for it is "tRNA-Leu". The record is from RNAcentral. Lineage: Eukaryota; Metazoa; Mollusca; Gastropoda; Pyramidellidae.